AGAGUUUGAUCAUGGCUCAGGACGAACGCUGGCGGCGUGCCUAACACAUGCAAGUCGAGCGAGAAUACCUUCGGGUAUUCUAGCGGCGGACGGGUGAGUAACACGUGGGUAACCUGCCUUACACAGGGGGAUAGCCUUCCGAAAGGAAGAUUAAUACCGCAUAAGAAGUGAUUAUCGCAUGAUAGUAGCUUUAAAGGAGCAAUCCGGUGUAAGAUGGACCCGCGGCGCAUUAGCUAGUUGGUGAGGUAACGGCUCACCAAGGCGACGAUGCGUAGCCGACCUGAGAGGGUGAUCGGCCACAUUGGAACUGAGAGACGGUCCAGACUCCUACGGGAGGCAGCAGUGGGGAAUAUUGCACAAUGGAGGAAACUCUGAUGCAGCAACGCCGCGUGAGUGACGAAGGCCUUCGGGUUGUAAAGCUCUGUCAUCUGGGACGAUAAUGACGGUACCAGAGGAGGAAGCCACGGCUAACUACGUGCCAGCAGCCGCGGUAAUACGUAGGUGGCGAGCGUUGUCCGGAAUUACUGGGCGUAAAGGAUGCGUAGGUGGAAACAUAAGUCAGAUGUGAAAUACCCGGGCUUAACUUGGGUGCUGCAUUUGAAACUGUGUUUCUAGAGUGCAGGAGAGGAAAGCGGAAUUCCUAGUGUAGCGGUGAAAUGCGUAGAGAUUAGGAAGAACACCAGUGGCGAAGGCGGCUUUCUGGACUGUAACUGACACUGAGGCAUGAAAGCGUGGGGAGCAAACAGGAUUAGAUACCCUGGUAGUCCACGCUGUAAACGAUGGGUACUAGGUGUGGGAGGUAUCGACUCCUUCCGUGCCGCAGUAAACACAAUAAGUACCCCGCCUGGGGAGUACGAUCGCAAGAUUAAAACUCAAAGGAAUUGACGGGGGCCCGCACAAGCAGCGGAGCAUGUGGUUUAAUUCGACGCAACGCGAAGAAUCUUACCAAGGCUUGACAUGUAUAUGAAUAUCUAAGAGAUUAGAUAGGCCUUCGGGACAUAUAUGCAGGUGAUGCAUGGUUGUCGUCAGCUCGUGUCGUGAGAUGUUGGGUUAAGUCCCGCAACGAGCGCAACCCUCGUGGCUAGUUGCCUGAAAAAGGAACUCUAGCCAGACUGCCGUAGUUAAUACGGAGGAAGGUGAGGAUGAUGUCAAAUCAUCACGUCCCUUAUGUCUUGGGCUACACACGUACUACAAUGGCUAUUACAAAGAGAAGCGAAACCGCGAGGUGGAGCAAAACUGAAAAAGAUAGCCCUAGUUCGGAUUGGAGGCUGAAACUCGCCUCCAUGAAGCUGGAAUUGCUAGUAAUCACAGGUCAGCAUACUGUGGUGAAUACGUUCCCGGGCCUUGUACACACCGCCCGUCACACCAUGAGAGUUGAGAAUACCCGAAGCCCAUGAAUAGUGGUCGAAGGUAGGCUCAAUGAUUGGGGUGAAGUCGUAACAAGGUAACC
RNAcentral lists this ribosomal RNA (1450 nucleotides) under uncultured bacterium. RNAcentral describes it as "partial 16S ribosomal RNA". It matches the Rfam family "Bacterial small subunit ribosomal RNA". The record is from RNAcentral.